This 75-nucleotide transfer RNA is filed under the name Quadrula quadrula (mapleleaf mussel). RNAcentral's name for it is "tRNA-Asp". The record is from RNAcentral. Lineage: Eukaryota; Metazoa; Mollusca; Bivalvia; Unionida; Unionidae.
GGAAAGUUGGUCUACUAAUGUGGAUGUGAGGUUGUCAGCCUUAAGGAGCUAUGUGUUAGCACUUUCUUGGUGCGU